This 659-nucleotide ribosomal RNA is filed under the name Pseudanabaenaceae cyanobacterium VUW6. RNAcentral describes it as "bacterial SSU rRNA". It matches the Rfam family "Bacterial small subunit ribosomal RNA", at positions 96 to 788 of the family's 1533-position model. Lineage: Bacteria; Bacillati; Cyanobacteriota; Cyanophyceae; Pseudanabaenales; Pseudanabaenaceae. The record is from RNAcentral.
UGGCGGACGGGUGAGUAACGCGUGAGAAUCUGCCUUCAGGUUGGGGACAACAACUGGAAACGGUUGCUAAUACCCAAUGUGCCGAGAGGUGAAAGCUUUAGUGCCUGAAGAUGAGCUCGCGUCUGAUUAGCUAGUUGGAGUGGUAAAGGCACCCCAAGGCGACGAUCAGUAGCUGGUCUGAGAGGAUGAUCAGCCACACUGGGACUGAGACACGGCCCAGACUCCUACGGGAGGCAGCAGUGGGGAAUUUUCCGCAAUGGGCGAAAGCCUGACGGAGCAAUACCGCGUGAGGGAGGAAGGCUCUUGGGUCGUAAACCUCUUUUGUCAGGGAAGAACACAAUGACGGUACCUGACGAAUCAGCAUCGGCUAACUCCGUGCCAGCAGCCGCGGUAAUACGGGGGAUGCAAGCGUUAUCCGGAAUUAUUGGGCGUAAAGCGUCCGCAGGUGGUUGUCCAAGUCUGCUGUUAAAGCAUGGGGCUUAACUCCAUAUAGGCAGUGGAAACUGGGCGACUAGAGUACGGUAGGGGUCGCGGGAAUUCCCAGUGUAGCGGUGAAAUGCGUAGAUAUUGGGAAGAACACCAGUGGCGAAAGCGCGCGGCUGGACCUGUACUGACACUGAGGGACGAAAGCUAGGGGAGCGAAAGGGAUUAGAUACCCC